Molecule: transfer RNA, 64 nt
Filed under: Phascolosoma similis
Lineage: Eukaryota; Metazoa; Annelida; Sipuncula; Phascolosomatiformes; Phascolosomatidae
Description: tRNA-Leu
Source: RNAcentral
UCUAAUGUGGCAGAGUCAUGCAGCAGGUUUAAGCCCUGCCUACAGGAGUACUUCCUCUUUAGAA